Molecule: non-coding RNA, 712 nt
Organism: Neofelis nebulosa (Clouded leopard)
Lineage: Eukaryota; Metazoa; Chordata; Mammalia; Carnivora; Felidae
Source: the annotation of a RefSeq genome assembly
CAACAGAAGGCAGGAUCAGUGCUGACCUACGCCAUGGCCUGGUCCCCUCUCCUCCUCACCUUCCUCGCUCACUGCACAGGGUCGUGGGCUCAGUCGGGGCCGAAUCAACCAUCCUCAGUGUCUGGGGCCCUGGGCCAGAGGGUCACUAUCUCCUGCACUGGAGUUGGUAGUUACGUGGGUUGGUACCAACAAAUCCCAGGAAUGGCCCCCAAAACUAUCAUCUAUGAUAAUAGCAACCGACCCUCAGGGGUCCCUGAUCGAUUCUCCGGCUCCAAGUCUGGCAGCACAGGCACUCUGACCAUCACUGGGCUCCAGGCCGAAGACGAGGCUGAUUAUUACUGCUCAUCGUGGGACAGCAGUGGCAGUGUUCACACAGUGGUCCAGGCCUGUGGGGAAGUGAGACAAAAACCUAGUUACUCAUCUGUAAAGAGGGAAACACAUCAGCAGUUGCCUCCUGACUUAGCCUGUGAUUCUGCUCAUUCCGUGGCUGAUGACUUGGACGCAGGUCCAUGCAAGGGCACCUCCCAUGAGUGAGGUUCCUCCUGUCCUUUCUGUCCUCAAAGUCACGCUCAGAAAACCCUUCCAACACAGAGUCUUGAUGGAAGACAAAUCUCUUGUUUUAUCAGCUGAGGUAUUUUACUUCUAGGCCAGAUCAUAUCAAUUUUUCCUUCUGAUAUAAAAAUAAAUGAAGCAUUUUUAUUCUUUCUCUGAA